UGAGGAAUAUUGGUCAAUGGGCGAGAGCCUGAACCAGCCAAGUCGCGUGAGGGAAGACGGUCCUAUGGAUUGUAAACCUCUUUUGUCGGGGAGCAAAAAGGCCUCGUGAGGCCACAAGUGAGAGUACCCGAAGAAAAAGCAUCGGCUAACUCCGUGCCAGCAGCCGCGGUAAUACGGAGGAUGCGAGCGUUAUCCGGAUUUAUUGGGUUUAAAGGGUGCGUAGGCGGACUGGAAAGUCAGCGGUAAAAUCGAGAGGCUCAACCUCUUUCCGCCGUUGAAACUGUCGGUCUUGAGUGGGCGAGAAGUAUGCGGAAUGCGUGGUGUAGCGGUGAAAUGCAUAGAUAUCACGCAGAACUCCGAUUGCGAAGGCAGCAUACCGGCGCCCGACUGACGCUGAGGCACGAAAGCGUGGGUAUCGAACAGG
RNAcentral lists this ribosomal RNA (424 nucleotides) under uncultured bacterium. RNAcentral describes it as "bacterial SSU rRNA". It matches the Rfam family "Bacterial small subunit ribosomal RNA", at positions 355 to 776 of the family's 1533-position model. The record is from RNAcentral.